Molecule: RNase P RNA, 390 nt
Filed under: Candidatus Cloacimonetes bacterium 4572_65
Lineage: Bacteria; Pseudomonadati; Candidatus Cloacimonadota
Description: RNase P RNA component class A
Rfam family: Bacterial RNase P class A
About the family: Ribonuclease P (RNase P) is a ubiquitous endoribonuclease, found in archaea, bacteria and eukarya as well as chloroplasts and mitochondria. Its best characterised activity is the generation of mature 5'-ends of tRNAs by cleaving the 5'-leader elements of precursor-tRNAs.
Source: RNAcentral
UAAGAAGAUAAAAUGUCUGCCUGUUUUAUAACAGGAGGAAAGUCCGAGCACCAUAGGGUGGAAUGCUUCUUAACAAGAAGUCCUGGUGACAGGAAGCUAGCUCCACAGAAAUAUACCGCUUAAAAGAGAGUUAAAUCUUCAUUGAGUAAGGGUGAAAAGGUAGUGUAAGAGACUACCAGAUGCCCUGGUGACAGGGUAUGCUAGGAAUGCCUCAUUCGGUGCAAUGCCAAAUAGGGGAGCUUGAGACGACCCGUCUCUAUAACUCUCGGGUAGGCAGCUCAAAUCGACCGUUUACGGACAGAACUGUGUGGCAACACUCGAUUUAGAUGAAUAGACAUUAUGCUACUUUUUAGGUAGUAGACAGAACUCGGCUUAAUAUCUUCUUAUAGC